Molecule: long non-coding RNA, 8059 nt
Filed under: Marmota monax (woodchuck)
Lineage: Eukaryota; Metazoa; Chordata; Mammalia; Rodentia; Sciuridae
Rfam family: tRNA (bases 1023-1093)
Source: RNAcentral
GAAAUAACUGGCUACUGAAGGCUUUGGAUUCCUUGGUAUCGGGUAAUUAGCUAAGCCUCUUUACAACCUCCUUAAAGAAACUGCAUCCUGGAUCAACUGUCCUGAUUUGAGACCAAGACCAGAACAUACUUUUUAAUGCCUUUUUGGCAUUAAAAGAGGCCUUACUUAAAGGCCCUGCCCUCAGCUUACCUAUGGAGCAAAAAUUUAACCUGGUUGUCAUUGAUAGAGAAAGAUAGUCCUGGGAGUGGUCACACAAAAGAAUGGACAGCUGAACAGCCAGUGACAUAGCCUGUGUCUAUGCCUCUUAUGAUCUCUCAGGGAUUUUAAAUACAAAAGAGGGAUUAUGGCUCUCAGUUGCUUCCUGAAAUGCCAGGCUUGGGGGUAGGGAUGUGGCUCAAGUGGUAGUGCGCUUGCCUGGCAUGCGUGUGGCCCGGGUUCGAUCCUCAGCACCACAUACACACAAAGAUGUUGUGUCUGCCGAAAACUGAAAAAUAAAUUUUAAAAUUCUCUCUCUCUCUCUCUCUCUCUCUCUUUAAAAAAUAAAAAAAAAAGAAAGAAAGAAAAAGAAAUGCCGGGCUUUACUUCUGGAAGGACCUGUAACUCAAAUAAGGACUUGCUCUAAUUGAAAUCAAACCAAGUUCCUCCCAGAAACACAAGAAGAAAUUCCUGAACCUGAGUUCUACUGAGAAACUGAUGUGAAUCCAUUUUAAGAAAGAAAUAAAUAAAUAACAGCAGCUUCUACCUCAAGGCCUGUCCUAAGGAAGGGGGCGUGACCUGUGUCCUUGGAAAAACCCACAGAGCACUCCUAAGAACAUUCCCAUGCUGCUGAAUUGUUUGUCUGUAAAUAACAGGAGAGGUCUGCAGCGCCAGGUGUCCCUGACUCAGUUAGGCUAGGUGAGGACCCAUAGCAACUCCCCUAGCAAUGUCCAAUCAACAUGAGACAAGGAAAAUACCUGGAAUGCCAGAUGACCCCCAAGUAGUUUAUGGUGGUUGAUAACAUGUUAGAAAAACCAUGUAGGGCUGGGGAUAUAGCUCAGUUGGUAGAGUGCUUGCCUUGCAUGCACAAGGCCCUGGGUUCUAAUCCCUAGCACCACAAAAAAAAAAAAAAAAGAAAAACCAUGUAGUUUAGCACAUACACCUCUUGUGGCCUAAACCAGUGGGUUCAAAUGAAUCCCUCUCUCGUACUAACCAAUCAUACUACCCAACUUGUUCAUGCCAUUGAAUGUGCUAAUCAAUGUUAAGAGUUGUUGUUUGAUUUUCCCGUGGUAUGGAAUGAUUUUCUGUGUGAUGUUGUAAUGCAUAGAGUACCCCCAAAACCUAUAAAAUCUCACUGAACAAAGGACCAGGACUCACUCCCUUGUAAUAAAAGACUCUAGUGUGAUUGCAUCGGAUUCGGCUUCUGGAGGUCUAUUGGGGUCCCACGAAUCUGGCAUUACAUCUGAGGCUUGUCCAGGAUCCCUCAGACCCCAGACCCCCGAACCGAACCGGAGAGUCUAACACCAGUGAGUCUUUUUGUUAUUCGUGUGUCUGUUGUCUGCUUUGUUCUGAAUCUGUUCUAGAAUCUGUAUUCUGUAAUCUGAAUUCUGGGGCUGGCAACUGGCCUUGACAUAGGGUCACCAGCUGGGGCUCUUGGGAGACAUCCCAGACCCCAAUCUGGGGGGGGAUACUCCCCCAAUCUGUUCAUCUGAGGGAAUCUAUGUUUUGGUUUUUUGUCUGUGCCUCUGUUAAGUGUGAUGGCAUUGUUUUACUUUGGACAUAUGCAGUGUACCAAGUUAUGAUCUGCCUUAGUGGAGGUAACUUUAGCUAAAUUUUAGCCUGAAAAUGUCCCUAGUAUGCUUCUCCUGCUUCUCUGAAAGGGACCAAAAUAGAACCGCCAGCUUUUCUAUUUUCACCUCCUGCACCCCUUUGAGCUGUGUUUUAAAGAACUCUGAUAAGCUUUACUCCGCUUUGUUAAAUGGGAUUAGGGAAGCAAUGUUUUCUUGUCUUCCCCUACUAGGCUGACUUGAGUGCACCUACUGCAGAGGGAAAUGCCUGCUGGGGAUCUAAGAACUUUGAUAUCUCCCUUUUUCUUUUUCUCAAAACCCUGUCCUCAUUAUUAAAUUGGCAUUAAUUGGCUUCAAGGACAGGAACCGAACUUUUAGUUACAAAUUUUGACACCUCAGGGGGGACUCCAGAGGAGCCCCCACUCCGCUUUCUUGGGGAAACCUACCACCCUAAACAACUGCAUGCUGAGGAUGUAAGAUGAACUUUUUGAGAGCUGACUACUGAAAAGUUAGGAGAUAUGGAGUGUGCCUGGUGCCUGGGGUCAGACAAAACUAGAGGAGUUAAUCCUGUAAGUAAAAGGAGGGACUGAGGGACUCCCAGCAGCUGCCGGAGCCCUUUUGCUUCAGGAACUCCCUCCUUCCUUCCCAGCACUGUAAGGAUUACUUCACCUAUGUCUACUUAAAGAAAAAAAAAAGGGGUGGGGGGGAGACACUGAAUGCAGUAAAAUUGCCACAUCGAGACUCUUGAUUUUACACUUCUGGUUUCCCCUCUGUGAGAACAUCUGGUCCACUCAUAGGGCGUCUAUGGUGUCACUGGUGUAGGAGUCAUAAUUAAAUGGGAGUUGGAAACUUGGGGAGAUUUUUCUCUUAUCUGGUCUGUUUUAAAGGUUAUUAUAGAUUGUUUCUUGGGGAUGAUAUUGGCUGAAUGUGUGUCUUAAAGAUGAUGUUUUAUUGUAACAAUCUGGUGUCUAAAUGGGUUUUUGAAGCAUUGCAGAAUCUUGCAGUUGAAAGUUGGGUUUAGGUAAUUGUUUAGUUUAUUAUUUCAGAUAAUUCAUGCCAGAGAAUUUAAAUACUUAGGAUGGAAAACUAAAGAACUCUACUUCCAAGUUUGGCAAGUAACUCCCAAUCAUUUAGUUUUAUUUUUUCACCAAUUUUUGAAUUGAGUAGCCUGGGAAGAUUUCACUGGGUGUACCAAUGCAUUAUUAAUUUGGGCAAGGAUAGUAAAUCAUGGUGUGGUAUCUGUUCCCCUCAGUGUGUAGGGCUUGGGGAAAGAAAGUGUUGGAUUGGGGGUUGGUCUGGCUUAUUGAAAUGACAUUGAAUAGCAACAGUCUUGGGAAUUUUUAAAGCUUAAUUUUGGAUAUAGAUGGUAGUGUGUGUUUCUCUUUUGGAACUUAAUACUACUAUAGGAACUUCAGAGCAAAGGAAGUGGCUUAAUGAUCCUGAAGGGAUUUCUUCUGAUGGUAGCUUUUAUAUUAUCAAGUAAGAUCCUAUUUUCAGUUGUUUGUAAGCAAGUUUUUCUAGUGUAGGAAAAAAUUUUCCUUUGGCAAAACAAGAUGUAAGAUAUAAAAUUUUGUGAAUUGUAUCUUAAAUUUGCAUCAUAAUUUUCAACAUCCAAACCUGAAAAUUAUGACUUAUGGUUAAAAUGCCUUAGGCAUGAGGUUUCUGCUCAGAAUUGCAAUUUUCCCUGCUCCUUCCAGACCUCAGCCAGGACUUAAGUUGAAAUGCAAAUAGAAGAAGCCUGCAAGCUCAGUAGGAGACUGAUCUGAGGCCCAAAGAAAAAAAGAGUAGAGAUGUCUUUUACCUGAACUCAAACUAGACUAAACCAAAAAGUAAAUUGUAUGGUAUUUACUAUUUACUGGCCGGUCAUUUUUUCUAGGACUCUUGCUUUUUCUUAGAUUCUGUAUUUUUUGAGCUCAUGAUUUUGAUCCUUCAGACCUAGGUUAAUGUUUUUCUGAUCAGUUCUAUUUUUUAUCAACUGUGGAGUUUUUAAACAUUGUAAAGGAGAUUUCACCUGUGAAAAGCUACAAGGCCUUUACUAUUGUGUUAUGUUUGCACACUUGUGUUAUGUGUUGUAUGUCUAUAUGUGCGUAUGUCCAUAUAUCAUGCACAUGAUAUGAAAAUUGGCAGAUAUAUGAGGAGCCUCAUGAAAUUUUAAAAAAAAUGGAUCCAAAUAUCUUUGAUUCACAUGAUUUAAAUGGUUCAAUUUAAAUUGGGCAAACAGAUAAAAAUGAUAAAAAUAAAGAUGUCUUUAAAAUUAAGCUUACAAGUUUUUCUAGAUGCUAAAAAAACUAAUAAAAUGUUGAUGUCUAUGAAAUGUUUGAUAUGCUUUCAUUCUAGGACUUUUCUUCAACAAGAAAGAAAUGGUUAACACUGUUCAAUACACUUGUCUGAUGUUUUAAUAAAAUAAGUAAAGUAAAUUUGACAUGGGAUUGCUCAUUUAUGAGUACUUUUGUUAGAUAUCUGAUUGAUUUACAAGGUUAAAAUGCAAAAUGUUAAAUAUAUCAUUGAGUACUCUUAACUCUGAAUUGCAUUGAGUAACAUUAUUGAUGUUUUUGUAAGUUGGUAAAUGAAGAAAAAAAGGUUUAAAGUUGUUUUGUCACCACUGACACUCAGACAUCAUGUUUUCAUGAAAUGGUAAACAGAUGUGAUUCUAUAUACAAGGGUUUAUAGAAGAUUUCUUUAUACAAAGGCCCAAAAGUUUCAACUGUUUCAAUUAAGAGUACUAUAAGUAAAAUCCAGUAUUUCUUUUUAUUAAAAUGAAACAAUCUGCCUAAAUUCAGAAAUUUACAAGGAUUUUUUAAAAAUGUGAAUAGAAAAGGAGGUUAACAGAUGGAAAGGAGAAAUUAGAAGGUUCUAGGUAUGGAAAUCAUAUUUAAUAGAAGAGAUAAAAAGUGUUCCUGGAUAAAGAAAGUUUUUAUGUGAUGAAGUAAAUAAGAGAGUUUAAGUAAGUGAUAAAGAAGGUCUGUGUAAGUUUGUUUUUAUAAUCAGUCAUAUGUUAAAAGGACAAAGAUUUCUUAAAACAUUAGUUUACCCAUAACAUUGUGUUUUAUUAAGUUUUGUUUCUUGUUUCUAGAGCAAGUAAUCUUAAAGGAAUUAAACAGCUGGUUAAACAAGGACUGUUAUUUUAGAGAAUUAUACCAUGUUAUUUCUUUAAAAACUAAACUUGGUUAUUAUAAAAACACCAAUGAAAUUGUGGUGCUAUUAAUAUGUUCAUAUCUUCCAGGUAUACAAGUCUGUAAGGUAGAAGCUUUAAAAGAGCAUGAUAUCAAUCCAGUGUUCUAAAGUUGUAUGGUAAUUUUAGACUUAAAAGAAAAAACAUUUGGAGAUUUAUUUAUAUCAUUUGAUGUUCUGUAACUGGACCUGUUAUCAAUAAGAUAUGUAAGUUUUAUGUUACUUUAUUCACUGGGGUACAAUUUAAAUGUAUUUUUAAGCUAAUGAGGGCCUAUCUGUGUAAAGGUUAAUAUUGUAAAGCAUAAAAGUACUUUGCUACUUUUCUACAAAAGGUUAAAAGCUUUCAGCCUUUCUUUAAUUCAUGUUUUAGAUGUGAUAUCAUAUUGUGUUAGCUAAUAUUCAUGUGAACUUGAGCAACAAUUUAUGUAAAUUUUGUAAAAUGACGUUUAAAAAACAAAGAUCAGCUUCAGAACUACAGCACUUAAGAUUUAUGAAGAGCCCCGCCUUACCUGAGAUAAGGCUCUGUGUCCCAUCUUACUACAUGUGAGAAUGACUAUGAAAGAAGUAGGCCAGAUUUCAGUACAUUUAAGGUUGUGUCCAAAAGUUGGUUUUUGUCAAGAUUACUAGGAUCUCAAACAGGGGAUAUGAUGUAUAACUCUGCCAAAGUUCAAGGUAGCUAUUACAUGAACUAAAUACGUUUUUACUCAUGUUAAUUUUGUUCUCUAGUUUUUGUAUAAACGGUUUAAAGAUGGAUUGCCUGUUAAUGUUUUGCAGAGGUACUGCUUUAAGAACACACAACCUGGGUUAAUUUAAGAUAAUAAGUUAUCACCUACAAGAUAGAGAGAUAGACAUUAAAGCCCAGUACUCUGUUGAAAUUUAUUUGCUGGAUGUUUAAGAUUAAGAUUUAAAAUUAAAGUUAAAUUAAAAGCGCCAAGAAAACCAAUAUUUGGCUCUUGCCCUCUGAGUCAGUCUGAAUCCAGGGAACAGGGAUUCUUCUAAAGAGCUUUGCAACUCUGGGCCACAUAACCUCCCGAUCAGGGAGAUUAAUGAGACCACUGGAGAACAGAAAGCCAAUCAGUGCAUUUGCUAUGAAUAGGAGGGUCAUCGGAGAAGGGAGACAUCCCUGAUGCUUCCAAGGGAAGCCACAUGGUCAAGCAAGACCUGGACCCAUCUUAGCGCAAAUGGCACUAGCAGAACUGAGAAUCUGCUCCAAAGUUCCCCCAGAAUUCCCAUGGAAACUCAGCUGACUGUUAACAAUAGAUAGAAACAAAAGUCACUUUGACUGCUUCAUCUUAAACACUUAGCAAAAACACUUAAAACCAAAACAGUUAUUCCUGGGCAUUUUAAAUGAUAAUAAUUUUAAAUGUAACUUAAGGUAUACACCUUGUGCUAGCCCCCAAGAAUAAGUAAGACUGGAGGCUGCAGAAGAGAUUCUUAUGCAGGAAUGCCUAAUAAUAUCAAAAUAAACUAUCAAGAGGAACUGCCAGAGUAGUUUUUAGUUUAAGGCCUACAGAUAUUCCUAACCUACACAGGGAGGCUUGGUGUUUGCUAGUAUGAUUAAUUAACAAAAUUAAAGGUUUCUCUAUUAGACACAGAGAUCAUACUAGUAAAAGGAUUUUGCAAGAUGACAUUAAAUUAUUAAACUGUAUCUUAUAGGGAAGGACAUCUAUAACACUAAAAGUUAAAUGUUAUGUUUACAUGCCUGAUAUCUGGGGAUGUUAAAGCUUGGUGAGGGAACUUCUAUACAGUGACAUGUUCUAGCUGCUGCAACAUUUAUUCAGUACUCAUGGUUUUUAUUUCUCUUAUAGAAGCACCCAUCCCCAGAUGACUUUACAACCUGUUCUUCCCCAACCAGACUUCAAACCGAAGUGACUUCUAAAAGGGAACUCAUGCCCCCACAUCGUCUCCCACGUCAUAGAGCCCCCUCAUGUUCGAUGCCCCAUAUCAGCUCUGAAGCAGCCAGAACAAGCCAUCACGCCUUCUCCUUACAGCAAUAAGGAGUUCCUAAAAUUAGAGGAGGAAUGAAGCCAGAAAUAGAUACAGUGUAGAUAGGUAAAUUGAGUCAGGAGGCCAAUUUUGAGUGAGUCUGGAAAGUUGAAGACUGUCCCCUGAGGUUUACUGUAUACUCUAAAAUUACCCUAGUGUCAACCUUAGUAGGACCACUUGUGAACAAGCUAGUGGCUUUCAUCAAGGACAGAGUAAACACAGUUUCAGAUGAUGGUUCUGCGUACCCAUUAUCAAGUCCUAGACCCAGAAGGAGAAUCCUACCAAGAUGUAGGGCCUGCCCAUAUAGACCCCCAACUAAGGGAACCACCCAAGUUUCCAGACAAAGGGGGGAAUGAGAAACUGAUGUGACUCCAUUUUUAAAAACAACAGCAGCUUCUAAAGGAAGGGGGCGUGACCCAUGUCCUUGGAAAAACCCACAGAGCACUCCUAAGCACAUUCCCACCCUGCUGAGUUGUCUGUAAAUAACAGGAGAGGUCUGCGGUGCCAGGUGUCCCUGACUCAGUUCGGCUAGGUGAGGACCCAUGAGACAUGGGUCCAUGAGCAUGAGACAGGGAAAAUACCUGGAAUGCUAGAUGACCCCCAAGUAGUUUGUGGUGGUUGAUAACAUGUUGGAAAACCAUGUAGUUUAGCCCGUACACCCCUCGUGGCCUAAAUCAAUCAGUUCAAACGAAUCCCCCUCUUGUACUAACCAAUCACCCCUACCCAACUUGUUCCUACCAUUGAAUGUGCUAAUCAAUGUUAAGAGUUGUUGCUUGGUUUUCCCACAGUAUGGAAUGAUUUGCUGUGUGAUGUUGUGACGCAUAGAGUACCCCCCCAAAACCUAUAAAAUCUCACUGAACAAAGGACCGGGACUCACUCCGUGGGACCACUGCGUCGGGAACAGUUGUGAGUCCAGGCUCCAGCUUGUAAUAAAGACUCUUGUGUGAUUUCAUUGGAUUCAGCUUCUGGAGGUCUAUUGUGGUCCCACGAAUCUGGCAUUACCCUACAAGUCCUAGCUGUAAACUACUCAGCCUGAGGAGACCUUCAUAGCCUUCCCCUGUCUAUCCCGACAGCACCUUGUUUACACAUGGGAGUUCCUUUAUUGAACAAGCAGAACACAAGGCUUGAAUACACCAUGG